GUUACUCUCUCCAUGGCCUAAUCAGAUGGUUUUCCUGGACCUGAAAGGACAGAACAGGGGCAGCGUUGUUACUCAGAGGUCAAAGAAUAUAAGACAUUACUUGGAAUCUGACUUCAGCAUGGAGGUGGGUUGAGAUGAUUCAUGAUGUGUGUGUGUGUGUGUGUGUGUGUGUACUUUGAGGUAAAAGGAGUGUCACUGAAGUAACAGACAUCUUUUCUAGGAGGAGGAAAGGAAUCUGAGAUUAGGGUUCCAGGGGCUCUGAAAAAGGCAGGCAAUUUCAUUGUUCUUUAGGUUAUCUGUUAACCACCUUAAUCAGAUAAUCUAAGACUUCUUUUUGGCUAAUAAUAUCAUUUAUUUCUCCUCUCCUAUUUGUCUUUUAUACUUUGUCAGUGGUUUCCAUGCUUGGCUGUGCAUCAAAAUUACUUAUGGAGCUUUUUAAAGAGUUCCCAGACACUGGGUCCCAGCCCCAGUAUCCCCCACUCCCUAUUUCAAGUUCCAUGAAGGAUUCCAGUGCACAGGCAGAAUGGAAAACAGCUCUUCGUGCUGUGAAGUGCCCUCCAUCCUUCAGAGAGAUUUUGUGUGCUUCGUCUUGCCUGAUACCCAGGGCAAGACCAGGCUGGGAAACUAAGGAUAUGGUGGUUAAAUGGUGUUUUUAAGGUCAGACAGCUUGUACAGGCUGGAACCAGGUGGGCUGGAACCUGGGUUCUUUUGCUCCUGACCCAGUCAAAAAGGGUAGACUGGGUCAAAAAGACCCAGUCAAAAAGCCAGUCAAAAAGACCAAGGCUUGGUCUUGACCUACCAUGGAGAAGCAGCAGAGAAAAGAGGCCUGACUAAUAAGAAUAGGUCUACUUCCGUAUGUAAUCAAAGUAAUACUCUUAGGCAGUAUCCAUAAAUGAGUACCUCCUAUAGGCAAAGCCCUUCCCCAAAUGUACCAUCCAUUAACUUUUCCUGCUCUGAUGAUUACUGCUGUGGGAUGUUUGAAAAUCUGCUUGACCUCACUGUUCAUUGGUUUCUUCAUCUAUACAAUGAGAAUGGUGGGUUUGGGUUCCUUCUACUCUCUUUCUAGAUUAUUAUAUCUGUUCACUGAAUAGCCCUUGGAUUUGCAAGGGCUGAAAAGAGCCCUCUAUUUUCUUAAUGUCUAUUGAUUCUUUGUCCCUAUGUUGCAAUGUGGUAUAAGAACACGCUUCAAAUGUGAUAAGCCCUAGACAAGAUGCAUUACGACUCAGUCUCAUGCAAGUGAAAAAUGAAAAUGACUGACAGCAUAGGGAGGGGGGAGUGUGCAGAACAGAAAGCAGGGAGGCUGUAAAUCCAUGAAGAGGAGUGGGGAGAAAUUGCUGGAGGUGAUAAAAGAGAAGGGUGGCAGCAGCAAAUGUGGCUGAUUUAUUUUGCCUGAGGUAGGGAGGUCCUAGAUGGAUUAUUGGAUGCCAGUUUAAACUCUGCUCCCUUACUUUUACCCUAGCCCUUCUGGAAGACCUCAAGAUCCUUCCCCCUCAGAUCCUUCACUAUCCCAAUCCCAGUAACCAUGAAAUAGACACUAGUAUCUUAAAUGAACGAAAUAUUUCUGUUGGCCCUUGCCAAGAGCUGGAACGAGGAACCCAAAAGCAAAGAAGGUAACACAAAGAGAGACACAAACCCAGAAGAAUGGUGUCAGGAAGGUUAAAGCCCCUACAAAGGUGGGCCUUGCCGAUCAUGACCAGGGCAAUAAAAAGGCCCACUGGGUCAUGUUCAGAGCAAGAAGAUGGGCUAGACCCACAGUUUGGGAAACAGCACAGUGUUAACAAGUGACAAAGAGACCGAAGAGACACUAAGGUCCUAAGUACUUGCUCUCUUUCCUCUAUUGGAGACACAACCAGGUCUCUGAAUGCUCAGGCUGAGCUCAGGAUCUGGCACACAGUAGGAGUACAAUAAAAAUUUCUUCAGGGAAUGGAGAAUGAAUGGGAGGAGGAUAAAGAGGAGAAUGCCCUUGAAGUUCAACAGAGAGCCCAGGAUGUUUGAAAAAGUGUGAGAAAAGAGUCUGUGCUAUCAAUUCAAUCCAAAUCAGGAGCAAAAGUUCACUGUGGUAAUCAGCUCCGUAGGAAACAGACUGAGAUGGCGAUUGGGCGAGUGAAGGGGAUAGAAACAGGAUUGAACUGUAAUGCAGAUGCAAAAAAUCUCAGGUCCGCCCCAUAGACUGGCUGUUUAGAGUUGGCUCACCCUGAGGCAAGGGGGCUGGGUCUGUCUACCUCAUCAACCAGUCAGGGAUAUAGGCUAUGCUCCCGGACAAGGUGUGACCUUGGACCACCUGUGAACUGUCAGCAGUCAACACUCCCAAGAGCUGAGGGAAUGAGUGACUCAGUCUUGAAGAAAGAAUGUGUGGGCACACCAUGGCACCCACAAAUAAUUAAUCCCACCUCCUUAUUUUACAGGUGAAAAAAGUCCAGAGAUGAAAUCAUAUAGCCGGUUAACAGCCAAGCUGGGACAUCUCCCGAAAUGGUUAUUAGAGUGUUCCCACAGGCCUAGUGUAUGUGGAAUUUGGCAUGGGAUUUGAUGGAGCUACCAAUAUGGACAAAAAGGAGAAAGGGAGGUUAGAUCAAUGGUUCCCAAAUCUAGCUGCUACCAGCAUCGUGUGUGAAGGGUUACUAGAAGGCAGAUUCCUGGGCUCCAUUUUCAGAGAGUCUCUUAUGAGGGAGUCUGGCACAAAGCCUGAGAAUCUGUAUUUUAACAAGCGCCCACAUGAUUUUAUGUGGCACAUCUCCCAGCCUGCGCCUGGGAACCAGUGUAUGAGAAAAUAAGACAUUGCUGAAUAAUCUGUACAAAGUAUUGUCAAAUGAUGUUAUCCUGGAAGGAGAUCUCAUCUGGGUUCAAGAGGGCUCACUCCUGAACUCUGAUUUAGUCAACAAAUUUUAUCAACUUGAAGACUUCAGUAGCAUAUAUAUCCAACAAAGAGGACCUCAGAAUUGCAAGAGAUUACUAAUACUUUAGAUGAUCAAAUUGAGAUUUCAACAGAUUUCAACAUGUGGCCCUUCAGUAUGAUUUUACAGAUUGAUAUUUAUUGACACUGAAAGUUGUUCACAGUAUCUAAAAUGAGAGAAAGCAGCAGAGAGGCAGCGAGCGGGUAUGGUGGAUUAGAGCACAGACAUUGGAACCUAAUUGACUGCAUGGGUUCGAAUCCCAGCCUUACCGUUUACUCACUAUGUGGCCCUGAGCAAGCUUCUUCUUUCCCUGUGCCUCAGUUUCCUCAUCUGUAAAAUGGGAACAGUGCUAUGUAAUUAUAGUACUUGUCUCAUAGGGUUACUGUGAGGAUUAUGUGAGUGAAUAUGUAUAAAGGAUUUAUAACUGUGCCUGGCACAUAGAAAAUACUGUAGAAACAUUUGCUGUCAUUAUAUGUAAUUGUUUCAGUUAUCUAUUGCUGUUAAAAAAACCCAAAAAACUAUCCUUUGGGGUGCCUGGGUGGCUCAGCCGGUUAAGCAUCCAGCUCUUGGCUGGGGCACCUGGGUGGCUCGGUCCGUUAAGCGUCCGACUUCGGCUCAGGUCAUGAUCUCACAGUCUGUGAGU
This 3534-nucleotide long non-coding RNA is filed under the name Lynx pardinus (Iberian lynx). The record is from RNAcentral. Lineage: Eukaryota; Metazoa; Chordata; Mammalia; Carnivora; Felidae.